Molecule: ribosomal RNA, 253 nt
Filed under: uncultured prokaryote
Description: partial 16S ribosomal RNA
Rfam family: Bacterial small subunit ribosomal RNA
Source: RNAcentral
ACGGAGGGGGCUAGCGUUGUUCGGAAUUACUGGGCGUAAAGCGCACGUAGGCGGCUUUGUAAGUUAGAGGUGAAAGCCCAGGGCUUAACCCUGGAAUUGCCUUUAAGACUGCAUCGCUUGAAUCGUGGAGAGGUGAGUGGAAUUCCGAGUGUAGAGGUGAAAUUCGUAGAUAUUCGGAAGAACACCAGUGGCGAAGGCGGCUCACUGGAUCGGUACUGACGCUGAGGUGCGAAAGCGUGGGGAGCAAACAGGA